RNAcentral lists this transfer RNA (77 nucleotides) under Lautropia sp. SCN 70-15. Its description in RNAcentral is "tRNA-Met". It matches the Rfam family "tRNA". From Rfam's summary of the family: Transfer RNA (tRNA) molecules are approximately 80 nucleotides in length. Their secondary structure includes four short double-helical elements and three loops (D, anti-codon, and T loops). Lineage: Bacteria; Pseudomonadati; Pseudomonadota; Betaproteobacteria; Burkholderiales; Burkholderiaceae. The record is from RNAcentral. RNAcentral also lists the same sequence under 6 other names.
GGAGAUGUAGCUCAGCUGGUUAGAGCGCGGCACUCAUAAUGCCGAGGUCGGUGGUUCAAGCCCACCCAUCUCUACCA